GUUUGGAUACAUGAAUAUCUUACUUGUUACUUCUCCUUGAUUUGGUUAAAAAAAUGUACAUUUGAUGACUAAAUAUUUAAAAUGAAAUAUCAUAUUCAACUUUCAAGUCAUUUUUAAAAUUAAAUUAUCUUGCGGAAGAAACAUGUUAUCCAACCAAAUCAGAGGUAGCAAAAUUUUGGAAUAAAUAGAAAUUAAUCUCCUUAGUUAUAAUUAUGUGCCAGAAAAACUUUACCCGUUUCGUUUAUUUCAUUUAGAAAUAAACAAACUUAGCUAGAAAUGUGAAUCAACUAGGAUUCGAACUUGGGUCUCGGAUACCAACCACCAAGCCCUUUGUCACUUGCUCUAGGGACGGUCGAUACCAAAAAAGUGUUGUUAUAUAUAUUGAUAUUUAAACAGGGUCCAAUAUUUUAUACUUUUAUCUCUUUUUAAUAAGAUCUACCGGAUCGUUAGCACCGAUCAUUAAUCACAAAAACUAGAAUUAUUAAAAAAAUACAAUCAAUUCACAUAAAACAUACAGAUACAGUGCCCAUCACGACACCAACCUUCCGUCAUUUCGAAUAUAACUCGAUCACGACACCAACCCGC
This 585-nucleotide long non-coding RNA is filed under the name Ananas comosus (pineapple). RNAcentral's name for it is "long non-coding RNA (ACOM_LNC022062)". Lineage: Eukaryota; Viridiplantae; Streptophyta; Magnoliopsida; Poales; Bromeliaceae. The record is from RNAcentral.